RNAcentral lists this transfer RNA (74 nucleotides) under hydrothermal vent metagenome. Its description in RNAcentral is "tRNA-Arg-TCG". It matches the Rfam family "tRNA". Rfam says of the family: Transfer RNA (tRNA) molecules are approximately 80 nucleotides in length. The record is from RNAcentral.
GCGCCAGUAGCUCAAUUGGAUAGAGCAUCAGACUUCGGAUCUGAGGGUUAGGGGUUCGACUCCUCUCUGGCGUA